Molecule: ribosomal RNA, 611 nt
Filed under: uncultured fungus
Lineage: Eukaryota; Fungi
Description: eukaryotic LSU rRNA
Rfam family: 5.8S ribosomal RNA (bases 199-352)
Source: RNAcentral
AGUAAAAGUCGUAACAAGGUCUCCGUUGGUGAACCAGCGGAGGGAUCAUUACUGAGUUAUCACAACUCCCAACCCAUGUGAACUUACCUUCUGUUGCCUCGGCAGGGCGCACCCCGCGAGGGGCUUGCUGGCCUGCCGGUGGACUACUAAACUCUUGUUUUUUUCGUGGAACUCUGAGUAACAAAACAUAAUAAUCAAAACUUUCAACAACGGAUCUCUUGGUUCUGGCAUCGAUGAAGAACGCAGCGAAAUGCGAUAAGUAAUGUGAAUUGCAGAAUUCAGUGAAUCAUCGAAUCUUUGAACGCACAUUGCGCCUAUUAGUAUUCUAGUAGGCAUGCCUGUUCGAGCGUCAUUUCAACCCUCAAGCCCUGGUUGCUUGGUGUUGGGAGCCUGCCGUAAGACGCAGCUCCCCAAAGCUAGCUGGCAGAGCUAGGGUGUGCUCUAAGCGUAGUAGAAUCUCCUCUCGCUUCGGACGCCGCCCCGGCCCUCUCGCCAUUAAAGCCCCAAACUUUUUUUCUAUGGUUGACCUCGGAUCAGGUAGGAAUACCCGCUGAACUUAAGCAUAUCAAUAAGCGGAGGAAAAGAAACCAACAGGGAUUGCCCCAGUAACG